AUCCAGUUGACGAAUCCAAAACAGGACGAAACGCGUGUCUUGGAU
Molecule: non-coding RNA, 45 nt
Organism: Schistosoma haematobium
Lineage: Eukaryota; Metazoa; Platyhelminthes; Trematoda; Strigeidida; Schistosomatidae
Source: Rfam